RNAcentral lists this ribosomal RNA (1040 nucleotides) under Pseudopestalotiopsis avicenniae. RNAcentral describes it as "SSU rRNA". It matches the Rfam family "Eukaryotic small subunit ribosomal RNA", at positions 62 to 1114 of the family's 1831-position model. Lineage: Eukaryota; Fungi; Ascomycota; Sordariomycetes; Amphisphaeriales; Sporocadaceae. The record is from RNAcentral.
AGUAUAAGCAAUUAUACAGCGAAACUGCGAAUGGCUCAUUAAAUCAGUUAUCGUUUAUUUGAUAGUACCUUACUACUUGGAUAACCGUGGUAAUUCUAGAGCUAAUACAUGCUAAAAACCCCGACUCACGAAGGGGUGUAUUUAUUAGAUUAAAAACCAAUGCCCUUCGGGGCUCUUUGGUGAUUCAUAAUAACUUUUCGAAUCGCAUGGCCUUGCGCCGGCGAUGGUUCAUUCAAAUUUCUGCCCUAUCAACUUUCGAUGGCAGGGUCUUGGCCUGCCAUGGUUACAACGGGUAACGGAGGGUUAGGGCUCGACCCCGGAGAAGGAGCCUGAGAAACGGCUACUACAUCCAAGGAAGGCAGCAGGCGCGCAAAUUACCCAAUCCCGAUUCGGGGAGGUAGUGACAAUAAAUACUGAUACAGGGCUCUUUUGGGUCUUGUAAUUGGAAUGAGUACAAUUUAAAUCCCUUAACGAGGAACAAUUGGAGGGCAAGUCUGGUGCCAGCAGCCGCGGUAAUUCCAGCUCCAAUAGCGUAUAUUAAAGUUGUUGCAGUUAAAAAGCUCGUAGUUGAACCUUGGGCCUGGCUGGCCGGUCCGCCUCACCGCGUGCACUGGUUCGGCCGGGCCUUUCCCUCUGGGGAACCUCAUGGUCUUCACUGAUCGUGACGGGGAACCAGGACUUUUACUGUGAAAAAAUUAGAGUGUUCAAAGCAGGCCUAUGCUCGAAUACAUUAGCAUGGAAUAAUAAAAUAGGACGUGUGGUUCUAUUUUGUUGGUUUCUAGGACCGCCGUAAUGAUUAAUAGGGACAGUCGGGGGCAUCAGUAUUCAAUUGUCAGAGGUGAAAUUCUUGGAUUUAUUGAAGACUAACUACUGCGAAAGCAUUUGCCAAGGAUGUUUUCAUUAAUCAGGAACGAAAGUUAGGGGAUCGAAGACGAUCAGAUACCGUCGUAGUCUUAACCAUAAACUAUGCCGACUAGGGAUCGGACGGUGUUACUUAUUGACCCGUUCGGCACCUUACGAGAAAUCAAAGUCUUUGGCUC